UUCCUUAUUCCCUUAUUCCGCAGACCCCCCCCUCCAGGGCAGAGGACAGCGGUGAGGGUGCCAGCGCUCCCCUCUCCGUCACCGACCGGCUCGUCCGCCGCCAGCGUGGGCUCCACUGCGGCCUGCGCCGGAAUGUCUCCAUGGCGAUGGCUGCGGCGAGCGGGAAAAGCCUGGAACAGCGGAGGCCCAUUCCCGCAUUCCGAUGGAACGCUGCGGGAAGUGGCUCCCAAAACGAGCACGCUCAGAAGCAGUUCAGUUCUUAUCAUUCCUAGACCGUGUACGUGUGCGCUGUGACGGGCGAUGUGUUAAAGCUGAAAGCCAGCGUGUGUUUCUCAAGAGCCGAAACCCCGGUGGAUUUUUGAAGCUGGAAGUCCGGUUCGCGGAGGCCGCUCGGCUCAGCUUCCGCCCGCGCCUUGGCAACGGAGCUGCGAGACACUGUCACCAAGACGCUGUACAGAAUAACAGGAAAUGGGGAAUAAACCUAGCCUGCACCCCCCCUCCCCCCAACCCUAACAACAGCAAGG
Anguilla anguilla (European eel) is the source of this 524-nucleotide long non-coding RNA. RefSeq lists it as uncharacterized. Lineage: Eukaryota; Metazoa; Chordata; Actinopteri; Anguilliformes; Anguillidae. The record is from RefSeq and is a predicted model, not a curated record. The transcript is spliced from 3 exons.